This 420-nucleotide ribosomal RNA is filed under the name bacterium. RNAcentral's name for it is "partial 16S ribosomal RNA". It matches the Rfam family "Bacterial small subunit ribosomal RNA", at positions 355 to 776 of the family's 1533-position model. The record is from RNAcentral.
UGGGGGAUAUUGCACAAUGGGCGAAAGCCUGAUGCAGCGACGCCGCGUGGGGGAUGAAGGCUUUCGGGUUGUAAACCUCUUUCGCUAUCGAACAAGGCCCGCUUAGGGUGGGUUGAGGGUAGGUGGAGAAGAAGCGCCGGCUAACUACGUGCCAGCAGCCGCGGUAAUACGUAGGGCGCGAGCGUUGUCCGGAAUUAUUGGGCGUAAAGGGCUUGUAUGCGGCUUGUUGCGCCUGCUGUGAAAACGGGGGGCUUAACUUCGCGCGUGCAGUGGGUACGGGCAGGCAUGAGUGUGGUAGGGGUGACUGGAAUUCCAGGUGUAGCGGUGGAAUGCGCAGAUAUCUGGAGGAACACCGAUGGCGAAGGCAGGUCACUGGGCCAUUACUGACGCUGAGGAGCGAAAGCAUGGGUAGCGAACAGG